Molecule: transfer RNA, 85 nt
Filed under: Felis catus (domestic cat)
Lineage: Eukaryota; Metazoa; Chordata; Mammalia; Carnivora; Felidae
Also listed under: 1 other name
Rfam family: tRNA
About the family: Transfer RNA (tRNA) molecules are approximately 80 nucleotides in length.
Source: Rfam by way of RNAcentral
GGCUGAGUGGCUCAGUUGGUUGAGUGUCUGACUUCAGCUCAGGUCACGAUCUCACGGUCUGUGGGUUUGAGCCCUGCGUCAGCCU